GGGCCCGCCUUUAAGGCCGCCGGGGGGCAUCAGCCCCCGGGCCCGCGCCCGCCGGAGACACCACGAACUCUGUCUGAUCUAGUGAAGUCUGAGUUGAUUGUAUCGCAAUCAGUUAAAACUUUCAACAAUGGAUCUCUUGGUUCCGGCAUCGAUGAAGAACGCAGCGAAAUGCGAUAACUAGUGUGAAUUGCAGAAUUCCGUGAAUCAUCGAGUCUUUGAACGCACAUUGCGCCCCCUGGUAUUCCGGGGGGCAUGCCUGUCCGAGCGUCAUUGCUGCCCAUCAAGCACGGCUUGUGUGUUGGGUCGUCGUCCCCUCUUCGGGGGGGACGGGCCCCAAAGGCAGCGGCGGCACCGCGUCCGAUCCUCGAGCGUAUGGGGCUUUGUCACCCGCUCUGUAGGCCCGGCCGGCGCUUGCCGAACGCAAAACAACCAUUCUUUCC
RNAcentral lists this ribosomal RNA (440 nucleotides) under Aspergillus tamarii. RNAcentral describes it as "eukaryotic LSU rRNA". The stretch from base 117 to 270 matches the Rfam family "5.8S ribosomal RNA". The record is from RNAcentral. Lineage: Eukaryota; Fungi; Ascomycota; Eurotiomycetes; Eurotiales; Aspergillaceae.